CUCCGACACCGCGCGCUCUGCUGCCGUGCUGGGACAGAGCACCCGGACCCGCGGCAGCGGCGACAGCGGCGCUACCUACCCUCUACUGCAACACCCAACGAGCCAGGAAGCAACCAAGCUACGGGCCCUCGGGACGCCUAAAGGAGCCUGUUUGUGUGCUGUUGCCACGUUCUGCUGUGCCUGGGUCUUGUCUUCUGCCUGUAGCUUCGAUUUCGGUCCGGCUGGAUUUGGGGGACAACACUGCCUGUCGCAGGGACAUCAAGUGAGACUUCAAAGAAGCAUAAAAUGAAUAGACUAUUCAAUCAAACAAAGACCGGGGGCAGCAGUACUCCAGCAAGACAGCAUCUUCUCCCCAGCCUAGAAGUCCUGAGAAAUCGAGGAUCUCCCCCUAAAACAUUCACAUACAAGAUAUGUGCAAUCAAGCUGCCAGCACUUGGUAAAAAGCUCAUGAUGCCUAACCCAAUGAUCCGGCGCAGAUCUUUGAAUCAGCUGUCACUUCUAUAGAAUGGGAUUUUCCCCCUCUUCCUCUUUUACCAGCGCUGGAAACUGCCGACUGCUUUAUACAUCUCAGUAGAGGAAGGCUAAAGAAUCUUACGUGAGAACGAAGCAAUUUACAAUGCAAAUAGAGGCCUGUGAAGUGAUGGACGCUGCAGCUCACUGGAACAGCUUGCUGCACCUUAGUCGCUGGUUCUCAUUUUCUGAUAUUAAUAGAUGAAUUGUUGGCUAACGCUGCUGGAGAUUACUUGCUGGAAGGGAAAAAAAAAGUUUGGAAUAAACUCUGAAUGCAACAGAUCUUAUUUGGAUGUUUAGCUGCACUCACUCAGACAGAAACCAGGUCAUGUUUGCAUGAAAAGAGGAAUCUUAAACGCGGCAAAAAUCCUGGAGGACUACACUUGUGUAGAUCCAGAGUGGAGCCGGAUCUGGAGUGGAGCCAGAGGAAGACUUCCUGUGAAGGAAGCGAGUUGUUAUCUUUGGUUAUCUAGCUGUAUGAGUGUAUUGGUCUUCAUAAAGCUAGAUAACCGAAAGUAAAAACUCCUUCAAGAUCACCGAGGAGCCGCCCAGAAUGAAAGCCUACAGCCAAGAGACAGUAAAGACCAGAAAGGUCAGGAAUGCUUAUUGAAUCUAACUUUUUUUCUUAUGAUUAAAAGUGGGAUGCAAGGAAAUUAAGUGACACACAUAUUUGAAAUCUAAAGGGGCCAGGUUUUGAGAGGGGCUGUACGACUGGAGAGGAGAAUUGUGUGGCUUUUAUGGAUGAAGAUGCAUGGGCUUUCUAUAUUGUUCUGUUUUGGAGCAAACGUUUACAUAUGAGAAAUGUUUUUCUUAGAAAGCUGUUAUAGUGAUGCCUGAUACCUCGUUUAAAAAUGAUGCAAUAAUUAUGUAGAUUUGGGCAGUUCCCUUUUGAGGCCCCUCCCUCAAGUUUGAAGCUUGUGCUUGGAAACUUUCUAUGUAUUUGGGGGCUGUACAUUAAAUUCUAUGAAGUUAGACUUUCAGUAAAGCUUAUAUUGGAAGGCUAAUAAUUUAUAUCUCCCGAGGACUUAGAGCUAGCAGGGAAAAUGGGGGGGGGGGCUCUGAUUUUUAUUCUUCUAUUCAAAAUACAAGGACAGAUGCUUCUCUGUUCCAAGAGGGUUUCCUUGAGGAAGUUACUGAAGCAGAAAGACAUGAUGGAGACGAGAUCGCCUCCCCUCUUGUCAAAGUGUUAAAAAAAUGUUCUGUCUUACUCUGCGCCUAGCAUUGGAAAUGAAAGUGACAUUUACGCCACAACCCACGUGUGCGCCUCCUCUCUUUUUGUUUAAGGAUGAUCAGGUCUAUCCAGGAAACAGCUCUGGCAUCCCAAACUGAAAUAAUUAGGACGUAUAUAGACCUGACAAAAAUGGAAAGGGGGUGGGGAAUCUGAGGGUCUGUCUUGCCUAAUUGAUUCCGCUAAACGGAAAGCAGGAGAUGUGAACGGCAGGACGCUCCGAUUCCCACGCUCGGGGGCAAGUGGUAAAGCCUGGCCGGCAGCCUAUGACAGACAGCCCUGUUGGGGGGCAGGGGUAUGAAAAAAACAUCAAGCACACACACCAUACUCAUCUCCAUCGCUUAAGAAAGUAAAGGCAUUUCCCACCCACAGCCAUCUGCAGCCUCCCAAAUGGCAACACCAACUGGUUGGUAGCUGCUGCAUACUGUUUCUGUUAAUUUUUAAACCACUGUUUAAUCUGGCCACCAUUAAAUUUGGCUUUCUACUUUGGUUGAAAUUUUCAUUAUUUAAGGAAAGCAAGUGGAAAGGGAUGCCAAGAACGUCCCUUGGAGAAAUUCUCAGCCUAUGGUUAGGGCCUUGUGAUCACCUUUGGGCUUUUCUUUUGGCUGUGUUAUAUUAUAAGUCUCGUCUGAUAACACUCUGACUUAGUUCAUCAGGCUGUUUACUUCUCUAUGUGACACAGGAACUUGGCCUACUUAUGCUAAUCUACAUCCUGGAAAUAAAGCUAUAAAGUCAUCAGUCUGUAGAAAGUUGACUACAAUCACAAUGCGUUUAAAACUUGUUUUAGAACAGUCUUAGCAGGACGUGUGCUACAGCUUCUUCUUCUUCUUCUUCUUCUUCUUCUUCUUCUUCUUCUUCUUCUUCUUCUUCUUCUUCUUCUUCUUCUUCUUCUUCUUCUUCUUCUUCUUCUCUUUUUCCCUAAAAGUAACUAGUUCUAGCAGAAACUUUGAAGUUUUGGAGAAAUUCAUUGUAAAGCUUUUCUGAAAUUCCUUAUAUUUUGUUACAUGUUAUCAGGCAAACAUUUGUGUAGACAUUUGCACAUAAACACAACCAUUGCAAUAAAAAAAUUGUCCAAAAUUGCCUGUUAUCUUCCACAUGGCCUAAAUUACUGACACUCCCAAAUACAUAAUUUUUCUUCAGGGACAGUGCAUUUUUCUUUAUUACUUCAAUUUCUUAUAAGACUGAGACUGGGAAGGCCUGAAAAGCCACUGUUAGCUUCACAUAGAAAAAGCUGAGAGACUUUAAUAACGCAAAUUCUCAAUUUGGCUGCUGAACACGUGCCAAAGUUUUACUACUGUAGUGACUGUUGAGAAGACCCGUGUUUGUUUACCUUUGAAGCACUGUUUGUGCAAACAAGCUUUCAUUGUAAAGUGCCUGUGUUCCUUUCAUUUGCCCCAUGUCCAGGGGUGCUAUUUACCUAGAACCAUUGUCUACUACAAUUAACAUUUACAUUACAAAGUGUGUGGUUUUCUUUCUCAAGGAGGUUCAAUUAAGGCAAUAAGAUGUUUGCUGGGGAAACCUAUUGUUUACUCAAAGCACUCAAUGGAGUCAAAUUACUGAAGUUUUUGCCUACAUCUUGGUCGUUUAUGUAAAUAUGUUAACUAUAACAUCUAAGGAAAAUAAACAAUAUUAAAAUUAUGUGUUUGCCAUUGUCAUAUCAAACUUGCUUUGUAUCAUACUAAUGUUACAUAACUUAUCGAUCAAUAAAAAUACAUUUCAAUGUUAUUUUCAUUUUAUUUUUUUGCUACUCCACUGCUCUUGCUGCAACAUGUCCCCAAUUUUUUUUCUAUUACACAUCAAACUUCUGACAUUUUGUUUUAUUUGUGUGUGUUGAAAGAGGUACCAUAUUUGAGCAUGGGUGUAAAGGGUGUCCAAGAUAAUCUCUACAAUUACCUUAUCAUAAGGUGAUUUUUUUUUAAAUCUGAAAUAUUCCUAAGGCAUGCACAUUUAAGUCAAAAGAAGUGUAAAUAUCAGUUAAGCAGUUCUUUGAAAGCUAGUUUUAGCAUUGGCAGAAACCGGAUCGAGUUUAUUUAGCAUACCCCUGCAUUGUAAAACAGUUGGAGGGAAGUUGCAGGUUGCGUGAGUAUGCAUGUUAACUAGUGGGAACCAAGGCAGUCUUUGUGACAGGGAAGCAGCAGAUUGCUGUGCAAGGCCAAUGUUAAAAAGGCAGCUGAAUUUAACACCAUCUGGAAGAAAAGAUCCCUUCACGACUUUCUCACACCGUCAGACAAAACUAGUGUCUCUUGUUCUGAGCCCUUGUCUAUGCAACCAUACAAUACUGAGUCAUUAUACUUUUGCUGAGAGAAAAUUUGAGAACACAAUAUGGGUAACCAGUGAAUGACCAAGUUUCAUUGUGCCCGUCUAAGUCGAUUGAAAUCUACGUCUAGAGCUAUGAAUGGUUGUAUUGUUUUCCUCACCAGGGCUGUACUAAAUGUCAGCACAGUGUAAAGAAAAACUUGAAGUCUGCAAAUAACUUACCAGAUCUCAAUUAUAAUAUUUUCCCACACUAGAACUAAUAUCAUUGCAAGGGGCUACAUUGCAGAAAAUACAAAAAGAGAUGAGAAGAAAUAAAAGAGUUCAUUACGAAGUUAUUUUAUCUAUACAAACAUUUUAAUUUUCUGAUUCGAAGUUUAGAAUGCAGGCCUAGUUGAGGAGUGGAGUUCAUUACUUGGAUGCUGAAGUUACAAAAAUGCUCUUGUGCAAUUAAAAUAGAUUAAGAACAAAUUCUCACCUCUACCUGAAACUAAUUAUGCAUCAAUGAACUCCACUUGGAUUUUAUUGCUAUAGUUUGAUUAGAAUUGCUAGUGUGACUCUAUCUUAAAUUUUGUUUUGAGUUUUAGCAUGCUACUCUUUCAAAGUUUGCCACUAUCAUUGACACUGUAAACAAACACCAUAGAAAUACAUUUGCCAAUAUACACAGAAGUAUACUGGGGGAUUCUAGUGCCUUCAAAAUAUGUUUCCUAUUUAUAAUUUCUAAUUUGUUUUUACACAGAAUAUCAAUCAGUUAUCUUCAAGGUUAAUAUUCACCUGUUCUAUUUGAUUGUAAACAGUUAGAAAAGGUAACAAAACAAUUCAAAAAUAGUAAAAGAAGUCAAUUGUGUAUAUUUUAUUAAGAUGUCUUUAAAUAUAAUUGACUUUGCAAUUUUGUUAUUGUGUCACUAAGUGUCACAUAGUUCUUAAUGUGUAAGUGCAAAACAAUGAGUAAUUGCUGUUUUGCUGAAUAAUACAUCUGAGUUGCCAAUAUCAAAUGUCUUAUUUUGUGUAUUCCCAAACAGGAGCAUUAGCUGCUGUUUUUGACAUUUAGAACCUUUUCAGGAAUUCUGAGAAAGAGGACGAUAAAAUGAUACCUUUAAAAGUAAAUGUAAAGCUAUAAGCAACUUAUUUUCCUUGUCUUAUUUUGUGAUACUAGAAAUUAACAAUGAAAAGUCAGUCAUUCAAAAUCAAAUUAUAAAGCAUAUAAUAUUAAACACAGAUAAAAAUCCAACACAGCAACAAAAAUGGAAAUUGAAUAGAAGUUAAAACACAGAUACACAGAAGACUUCUAUAAUACCUUGCCAAAAUAUGCAUGGGUAUAAUAUUAGUGUCUUUCCCUCACUGAAGUUAUGCAUAAUAAUGAGAUAGCUACAAUAGUUACAUUCAAAAUAAAAUAUUUUUUCAAAAUAGUUCUUCAAGUCUUCAAGCAUU
Molecule: long non-coding RNA, 5422 nt
Filed under: Cricetulus griseus (Chinese hamster)
Lineage: Eukaryota; Metazoa; Chordata; Mammalia; Rodentia; Cricetidae
Description: lncRNA (ENSCGRG00015028954.1)
Rfam family: mir-9/mir-79 microRNA precursor family (bases 960-1035)
Source: RNAcentral